RNAcentral lists this ribosomal RNA (433 nucleotides) under uncultured bacterium. Its description in RNAcentral is "partial 16S ribosomal RNA". It matches the Rfam family "Bacterial small subunit ribosomal RNA", at positions 29 to 507 of the family's 1533-position model. The record is from RNAcentral.
AACGAACGCUGGCGGCAUGCCUAACACAUGCAAGUCGAACGAAGGCUUCGGCCUUAGUGGCGCACGGGUGCGUAACGCGUGGGAAUCUGCCCUUUGGUUCGGAAUAACAGCUGGAAACGGCUGCUAAUACCGGAUGAUGACGAAAGUCCAAAGAUUUAUCGCCAGAGGAUGAGCCCGCGUUGGAUUAGGUAGUUGGUGGGGUAAAGGCCUACCAAGCCGACGAUCCAUAGCUGGUCUGAGAGGAUGAUCAGCCACACUGGGACUGAGACACGGCCCAGACUCCUACGGGAGGCAGCAGUGGGGAAUAUUGGACAAUGGGCGCAAGCCUGAUCCAGCAAUGCCGGGUGAGUGAUGAAGGCCCUAGGGUUGUAAAGCUCUUUUACCCGGGAAGAUAAUGACUGUACCGGGAGAAUAAGCCCCGGCUAACUCCGUG